GAUGAACGCUGGCGGCGUGCCUAAUACAUGCAAGUCGAGCGAACAGACGAGGAGCUUGCUCCUCUGACGUUAGCGGCGGACGGGUGAGUAACACGUGGAUAACCUACCUAUAAGACUGGGAUAACUUCGGGAAACCGGAGCUAAUACCGGAUAAUAUAUUGAACCGCAUGGUUCAAUAGUGAAAGACGGUUUUGCUGUCACUUAUAGAUGGAUCCGCGCCGCAUUAGCUAGUUGGUAAGGUAACGGCUUACCAAGGCAACGAUGCGUAGCCGACCUGAGAGGGUGAUCGGCCACACUGGAACUGAGACACGGUCCAGACUCCUACGGGAGGCAGCAGUAGGGAAUCUUACGCAAUGGGCGCAAGCCUGACGGAGCAACGACGCGUGAGUGAUGAAGGUCUUCGGAUCGUAAAACUCUGUUAUUAGGGAAGAACAAAUGUGUAAGUAACUAUGCACGUCUUGACGGUACCUAAUCAGAAAGCCACGGCUAACUACGUG
This 497-nucleotide ribosomal RNA is filed under the name uncultured bacterium. RNAcentral describes it as "partial 16S ribosomal RNA". It matches the Rfam family "Bacterial small subunit ribosomal RNA", at positions 28 to 507 of the family's 1533-position model. The record is from RNAcentral.